GAAAGACCUUGGUAUCCUGCCUUCCAAGCCCAGUGGGAUUUCCACACCAUUCCUCCCCCUGCUCCCGCCCCCUGCACUGCUGCCUUCCUGAUGGGUUCCAGAAAUUGUUGAGCCUGUGCUUAGGCCCAAGAGGCUAGCUAAACUGACCCCGGAGUCAGGCACUGUCUCCCUCUGAUGGACACAUCUGGGCCCCAGCGUGGAGAGCAUAGACGGAUGGGCUCAUCAUGCACAAUGAAUUGGAGGGGUCAUCAUCAUCCUUCCAAAAAGCCGAGAGGGAAGGCUGCAGGAGAGCCAAGUCUGAGGAAACCCUCUUUGCCCAUGACCUCCUCCCCACACCUCGAGCAGUUGGGGUGCACUGCCAAGGCUAAGGAUGCUGUCAUCUGCCUGUGAUGCCUGGAACUGCAGCAGCCACUUUAGGAUUAGGAGGAUACUGUAACAUGCUAGAGAUGGCAGAGCAAAAGUGAGGAUGGAACCCAGGUCCUUGAGGACAUAACCAAGUCCCUGAAUUAACCAGUCCAGAUUACCUUGCCCCUGGACUUCUCAUUACGUGAAAUAAAAAUAGUCCUUA
This is a long non-coding RNA of Lutra lutra (Eurasian river otter), 568 nucleotides long. RefSeq lists it as uncharacterized. NCBI's taxonomy places the organism in Eukaryota, Metazoa, Chordata, Mammalia, Carnivora, Mustelidae. The transcript is spliced from 4 exons. The record is from RefSeq and is a predicted model, not a curated record.